GUAUUAAACGUUUAAACAAUGCAUUUCAAUUUCAAUAUGUUGUCACUGAUGACAAUAAUUGGGUAAAGUUUGAUGAUGGCGAUUUUCACGUUCAGAAGAUAAGGUUCUGGAUAAAUUGUAUAAAAGGCACUUUCUGCGCAAUAACUUAUGAACCGUUCAAUUAAUGCGUUUCAAAUUCAAUAUGUUGCUAUCAGGCGCGUAGCUACAUUUACGUCAAAACACCCG
This 225-nucleotide long non-coding RNA is filed under the name Mytilus galloprovincialis (Mediterranean mussel). Lineage: Eukaryota; Metazoa; Mollusca; Bivalvia; Mytilida; Mytilidae. The record is from RNAcentral.